UACGGAGGAUGCAAGCGUUAUCCGGAUUUAUUGGGUUUAAAGGGUGCGCAGGUUGUUUGAUAAGUCAGUGGUGAAAGUCUGUCGCUUAACGGUAGGAUUGCCAUUGAUACUGUUGGACUUGAAUAUGGAUGAGGUAGGCGGAAUGUGUAGUGUAGCGGUGAAAUGCUUAGAUAUCACGAGGAACUCCGAUUGCGCAGGCAGCUUACUAAACCACUACUGACGCUCAUGCACGAAGGCGUGGGGAUCAAACAGGAUUA
RNAcentral lists this ribosomal RNA (257 nucleotides) under uncultured prokaryote. RNAcentral's name for it is "partial 16S ribosomal RNA". It matches the Rfam family "Bacterial small subunit ribosomal RNA", at positions 524 to 780 of the family's 1533-position model. The record is from RNAcentral.